This 256-nucleotide ribosomal RNA is filed under the name uncultured bacterium. RNAcentral's name for it is "partial 16S ribosomal RNA". It matches the Rfam family "Bacterial small subunit ribosomal RNA", at positions 524 to 776 of the family's 1533-position model. The record is from RNAcentral.
UACGUAGGUGGCGAGCAGUGUUCGGUCGAUUUACUGGGCGUAAAGAGCGCGCAGGCGGUCGUUCAAGUCGCGUGUGAAAGCCCCCGGCUCAACUGGGGAGGGUCACGCGAUACUGAUCGACUGGAAGGCAGGAGAGGGCAGUGGAAUUCCCGGUGUAGUGGUGAAAUGCGUAGAUAUCGGGAGGAACACCAGUGGCGAAGGCGACUACCUGGCCUGUUCUUGACGCUGAGGCGCGAAAGCUAGGGGAGCAAACGGG